UACUCAAACUGAUUAUUAAAAUAGUUGGCGAUUAAUUAAAUAGUUGACAACUAAACGAUUGAUCGAUUAAUUGUUGCAGCUCUACUGUUGUUUCCUUCUCCUUUAUACUAAAACUGGCAAUCCUUAUCAGCAUUUAUGGUUAUAAAUUACACCUUGAACAGACUCCUCCCAGCCAGAAGCUUUCGUCUUUGCCAGCUGAUGUAUAGUGAUGCUGUUUCUUCAUCGCUUCCCUUCCCUAUUCAAACCUUAGUCAGCUCAGUGGAGGCAUCAGUUGAAUCUCCAACACUAACAGAGUCACAUCUAGUGAGCUGAUGUGAGAUCACAGCGAAUUACAUCUGGAAAACUGUCAUAUGCAGUCCGACAUGUCAUGUAAAGGGCUUUGAGUAGUUUUAUUUUGAAUCAAAAUGAUCCGCUUUCUCCUCUUCUGUUGUCUGGCAGGUGUUAGUCUGGGUCUAGAUGUCCGUCAGUCUCCCUCUGAACUCAUCACAACACCUGGAGACAAAGUGCAGAUUUUCUGCAGCCAUGAUAAAACUGACUACAGGGUGAUACUCUGGUACCAGCGGUCACCUGGAGACACAGCUAUGAAACUCAUUGGAUACUUGUACAAUACAGAUGUCACAAAGGAAGAGCCAUAUAAAGAGGAUUUUGAUAUGUCUGGAGAUUUGACAGGAAGUACAGCAAAGAAUGGCUCUCUUAUAGUCAACCUUGUAAAACAAGAGCACGGUGCAGUUUACUACUGUGCAGCCAGAGAAGCACGCUGACAAAAACCCCCUCUGAACUUUACAAAAACUCUGCACCAUCUUUUGUCAUCAGUGGUUUAUAAUAAGACCUGGAAUAAACUGCUCCCAGACACCUGCUAUUGUGGUUGUACUUUGGUUUGAUGCAAUCACAUCAUCAUUAGCUAAUACAACUAGAGUUAUUCUGAUA
Non-coding RNA from Sebastes umbrosus (honeycomb rockfish), 927 nucleotides. NCBI's taxonomy places the organism in Eukaryota, Metazoa, Chordata, Actinopteri, Perciformes, Sebastidae. The record is from the annotation of a RefSeq genome assembly.